RNAcentral lists this ribosomal RNA (443 nucleotides) under uncultured bacterium. RNAcentral describes it as "partial 16S ribosomal RNA". It matches the Rfam family "Bacterial small subunit ribosomal RNA", at positions 338 to 795 of the family's 1533-position model. The record is from RNAcentral.
CCUACGGGUGGCAGCAGUGGGGAAUAUUGGACAAUGGGCGCAAGCCUGACGCAGCAACGCCGCGUGAAGGAAGAAGGCUUUCGGUUUGUAAACUUCUUUUAUCAGGGACGAAGCAGAUGACGGUACCUGAUGAAUCAGCCACUGAUAACUACGUACCAGCAGCCGCGGUACUACGUGGGUGGCAAGCAUUAUCAGGAUUUACUGGGUGUAAGGGGCGUGUAGGCGGGGGUGCAAGUCAGAUGUGAAACCUAGGGGCUCAACCCAUAGGCUGCAUUUGAAACUGUCCGGCUUGGGUGUUGGAGAGGCAAGCGGAAUUCCGGGUGUAGCGGUGAAAUGCGGAGAUAGAAGGAGGAACACCAGUGGCGAAGGCGGAUUGCUGGACAGUAACUGACGUUGAGGCGCGAAAGCGUGGGGAGCAAACAGGAUUAGAUACCCUGGUAGUC